RNAcentral lists this ribosomal RNA (408 nucleotides) under uncultured Eocercomonas. Its description in RNAcentral is "partial small subunit ribosomal RNA". It matches the Rfam family "Eukaryotic small subunit ribosomal RNA", at positions 30 to 432 of the family's 1831-position model. Lineage: Eukaryota; Cercozoa; Cercomonadida; Cercomonadidae. The record is from RNAcentral.
GCUUGUCUCAAAGAUUAAGCCAUGCAUGUCUAAGUAUAAACAACUUUAUACUGUAAAACUGCGAACGGCUCAUUAUAUCAGCAAUAAUUUAUUUGAUGGUUUCUUACCCCAUGGAUAACUGUGGUAAUUCUAGAGCUAAUACAUGCGUAAAGUCCCGACUCUUUCUGGGGAGGGAUGUAUUUAUUAGAUAAAAAGCCAAUACACCCUCUGGGUGGUUUGUGGUGAUUCAUAAUAACUGAUCGAAUCGCAUGGCCUCGUGCUGGCGAUAGUUCAUUCAAAUUUCUGCCCUAUCAGCUUUCGACGGUAGUGUAGUGGACUACCGUGGCAUUAACGGGUGACGGAGAAUUAGGGUUCGAUUCCGGAGAGGGAGCCUGAGAAAUGGCUACCACAUCCAAGGAAGGCAGCAGG